This 270-nucleotide long non-coding RNA is filed under the name Mustela putorius furo (domestic ferret). RNAcentral describes it as "lncRNA (ENSMPUG00000030454.1)". The record is from RNAcentral. Lineage: Eukaryota; Metazoa; Chordata; Mammalia; Carnivora; Mustelidae.
UAAUAAAGCUAACAUUUCUUCCUUUUUACUCCAAGUCUCUCAUCUACAAUGUAUUCUUUGUUCCAGGGUCUGAAUCAGACAGGUUCUCCUUUGAAAUCAAUAGAACACAUCACAGUUGGAAACAACAGAGAAAAUUUGGAGGAUACCUGGACAGUAAAGCUUGGAAAAUGGGCAGAAACCAGUAGUAGAUCAAAGAAAGGAAAUUAGACCUCUAGAUGCAUAUGCAUAAAGCAUUGGAUUCGGAGAGCCGCAGCCCAAGUAAAUGGAUAC